GCGCCUGUAGCUCAGCUGGAUAGAGCGUCGGACUUCUAAUCCGAGGGUCGGAGGUUCGACUCCUCCCAGGCGCACCA
RNAcentral lists this transfer RNA (77 nucleotides) under Candidatus Rokuibacteriota bacterium. RNAcentral's name for it is "tRNA-Arg". It matches the Rfam family "tRNA". From Rfam's summary of the family: Transfer RNA (tRNA) molecules are approximately 80 nucleotides in length. Their secondary structure includes four short double-helical elements and three loops (D, anti-codon, and T loops). Lineage: Bacteria; Candidatus Rokuibacteriota. The record is from RNAcentral.